UCAUAUAGGUUAACACUGUUUCCUCUUUCUGUUAUUUUAAGAUUAAAACAGGGUAUUUAAGGAAAUUCAAGGCCAACGGGGAGAAUCUGGAAGCGCAGUCAUGUGGAUUAGGGAAUUGGUGACCUGGAAUUACCCUGGUUACCUUCUAGAAAGGCGGCUUAGUGUCCUAACGGUGAGGAUGACGUGGCAUUAAUUCAUUGGAGAGAAAACCUGUUCGCUGUUUUAACCUUGUAAUUCGUCAUGUAAACGUGGCGUCAUUUCAUUGGAUAUCGAGAGAGCUAGGGAUCAAUCGCGCCAAAUCGUUUCGAGGUGCUUCUCUAACUAGGGUUAGGGUUUUAGUUCUUGGAUUAAUGGCCUCGGAUGCUUCGAUUUGAUCUUUAUUGGUUGUGAUGCCUCUUUUUUUCCAGGUUUCUGUGAGAUUUGCUUUCUUGGUGGUUGUUUGUUAGAUUGAUUUCAUUAUCUGAUGAUAAGGAUUUGUGCCUUCUUGAUGUUCUUUAUUGUUUAUUUGAAUUGGAAAAUCUGGUAAUGUUUAUGUGUGUAUGUGCUUGUAUAAUUGGUUUCAAACAUUGGUAAUGAUGCACAUUUCUUCUUUGUGGUGUGAGCAAUAAGGAAAAAAAAAAAAAAAAUUAUAUCUGAGUACUAUGUUUGUUGUCCCCUUAUGUCUUUAUAUCUUUUUUUGUAAGAUUUGCAAUAAUUAAGGCUGUUUGGUAAAGAGAUUUCAUUGUCUGAUGUUUUUGUUUAAAUAUGCUCAUAUGAUUAGUUUCAAAAAUUGGUAGUUAUGUUUAGAAUAGAAGGAAAAUUAUAUUAGAGCACCAUGUUUGUUGUAGCUUUUUGUUUCAAAAUUUCUGUAAGAAGUUCAAUAUUUGAAGCAGUUUGGUAGAUAAUGCUAAGAAUUUCUGCCCCUUGUCCUUGUUAUAUGGUUCAUUUGAUUUGGAAAAUCAAUGAUGUUUAAGUCUAUUUGUGCUUGUAGAAUUGUUUCAUACAUUGGUAGUGAUAUUUAUGAACAUUCUCCUUUGUGGUUUGUGCUAUAAGAGGAAAUCCAUACUACAUUCAUUCACUAUAGUAACACCAUUUCAUGACAUUUAAACUGAAUGACAUAUAAAUACACAAAAGCUUCAGAUGUUUUUGGCUUAAGAGUUCUAUCAUGUUGGAUCUUCUGUGUCGAACCAUGUAACUCCUUAUAAUUAUUAGCAGCUAUAUGAUUUAUUCAAUUGUGACGCAUCAAAUGUGGUUCUGAUGGUAACAUUAGGUGAUUGCUAAUCUUUUUUAUUUAUAUAUGGUAGAACUUGUUUAUCUGAUACUAGUGUUAAUAUUUACUAUUCAAGGGUGAAUGGUUGAUACAUACUAGUUUGCUCAGCUAUAAAGUUAACUGAAUCCAGGUGACACCUUUAACAGUUACCAAAAAAGAAAAAGAGGAAAAAAGAAAAACUUGGAUGCUCACACUAGUUUGAGAUGCUCUAAUGUUUUAGGAACGGUUUGCUGAUAUUUUGGGCUUUGUAAUAGCCUAAGAGGAUUAUGUACUGAGUUAAUGAACAAUAGCAAGGUUUUGAUUCAACGGUAUCUAGCUUCUGAAUUUUAAAGCCACCUUGUGUUCCAGCCAUCCCAGCAUAUUCUCUGGGCUCUCCAACUGAAUAUAGUAAGUAGUAAACUAAUUUAUCAAUGACUAUUAAAUAACUGAAAUUAAUUCAGUCAUCAUUAUGAGCACAAGAUGAACUUAGAAUUUUAAAGUGCCUCAUUUAAGUUGGUCUUCCCAUUGGUUUCUACCCUUUUCUUGUAUCAUGUGGGAAUACAUUGUAAUCAAGUAAAUUCUUCAGGGAAUAUGAGUUUGGGUUGACCUCAUUGCUAAUGGAUCUUCCAUCUGAGUAAUUGAUCACUCUGAAAUUUGAAGAGCUACCAUGCUAUGCAUUGUUCUUUCUUUUUACAUUUGGCUUCUCUUUGCCUGUCAGUUCUUGGAAAGAUUUCGCAGGAUGUUUGUGACACUCUAUUUUGGUGGAUCAGUAUAUUUGGAUGAUGGCAGAGCAGUUAGGGUAUUAUGCACCAUAUCUCACAUUAAUAUGGGCCAACUUUACUGUUCAAAUCAAAGUUUGAAACCAAACUUCUCCUCAGAAGGAUGGAUUGGGCAAUCUGAACUUAUCCGUGCCUCAGAACAAGAAUGUUAUAUUGAAUUGUAAAGAAUUAAAAUUUCUUGGUAAAUCCUUGUCAGGUGGACAGAAUGAAUUAUUUGUCAUGCCAAAAGUAUCAUGCCAAAAGAGAAAGGCUAUUGAAUUGAUAGCUUCAGAUCAGGAUUAGAUGCCAUAUGUUCUUCUUCUUUGCUGUCAUUUUCAUUAACUCCUUUUUAUGGUUUCAAUUAGAUCUUUUUAUUUAUCACCAAGCAUUAUCUUUUUUUAAAAUCCAAAUCUUGCUUGCAUUAUGUGUGGUGUAUAUAUCCCGUCUAAAAUGUUGUCAGUUUACAUCUAUACUUAUUUUAAUUUGGUUUUUCUUGCAUUAGUUGUUCUGAUAUUUGGGGCCUAUUGGCUUUCCUCAGUAGUUGUUACCUUUUACAAUCAAAGCAAUUGCAGGGAAGACAAUGCUUUAAUCAGCUACAAUUUCUAAAUUUCAGAUUCAGCUCAGAGAGACAGAGGAUGAUAAAACUUCCAAAAGUAAUAGAGGAAAGUUACAGCCAGUGGAAGUACUCAAAUUUAUUCAAAGCUAACACCAGUAUUCUGCUACCUCUCCUGACAAAACCCCCCCACUGCUUAUGCAUGGAGCUUCUUCAUCUUCUCUUUUUUAGGGUAAUUAAGAGUCUCUCUGUCUGUCUCUACUUUUCCUUGCAGAGAAAUUGGCAAAAUUAUUACAUGCACACAUGAAAACACCAGGUUUACAUGUAUGUGCUCUUUUACAGUCUCCUUCAGUAGAUAAACUUGUGAAUUCAAUAUAGCAUGCAUCAAGGCACCAACUAAGACUUUUUCUCAUGUGUAUAUAUAUAUAUAGUUAUAUCUACAUAUAUAUAUAUAUAUAUAUAUAUAUAGUUGAUCAACUGAUCAGUUGCCAUGUAUUGCAGAAUGCACAAGA
Dioscorea cayenensis subsp. rotundata (Guinea yam) is the source of this 3051-nucleotide long non-coding RNA. RefSeq lists it as uncharacterized. The record is from RefSeq and is a predicted model, not a curated record. The transcript is spliced from 2 exons. Lineage: Eukaryota; Viridiplantae; Streptophyta; Magnoliopsida; Dioscoreales; Dioscoreaceae.